UACAGAGGGGGCAAGCGUUGUUCGGAAUUACUGGGCGUAAAGGGCGCGUAGGCGGCCUGUUAAGUCAGACGUGAAAUCCCUCGGCUCAACCGGGGAACUGCGUCUGAUACUGGCGGGCUUGAAUUCGGGAGAGGGAUGUGGAAUUCCAGGUGUAGCGGUGAAAUGCGUAGAUAUCUGGAGGAACUCCGGUGGCGAAGGCGGCAUCCUGGACCGACAUUGACGCUGAGGCGCGAAAGCCAGGGGAGCAAACAGG
Molecule: ribosomal RNA, 253 nt
Filed under: uncultured bacterium
Lineage: Bacteria
Description: partial 16S ribosomal RNA
Rfam family: Bacterial small subunit ribosomal RNA
Source: RNAcentral